AUGGGGGAAGGAGCCCAAGGAGAAGCAUCAGCAACAGAGUCCCAGAGAGUUCAGGCACCCCGGUCAAAACCCCUGACGUUGCAGUUCACUGCGCUCCAGCAGCCGGGAACGAGCCAGACGUGGAGCUGGUUAAAACAUGUUCUGCAAAAUUAUCUGGAUUUGCCGGGCAAAGACAAGCGCGGGUUUUCCCCUCGCAACCAUUCACAUACCUCUGUGGAGGAUUUGUUGGGAGUUUCCACCACCUGUUUGCACAGAGCUGACUAUGGGUCCAUGCUGCUCCGCUCUGCUUCCUGUCUGAGAAGAAGCCGAGACGGUCAGCAGAAACAACCUCACGUCCUUGCAGAUGAAAACCAUGGAACACAAUUUGUCCCGCUAGGGAAAUCAGUGCUUUAAGUGCAUGAGUAAUCCACUGACUUCAUAGGAAUAGCUCCGGAUGGAUUUUUUUCAGCGUGCUCUCAGGGGCUGCAGCACAUCAUGGGUGUGUCAGACGAGCCAGGAUGCUCGGUCUGCUGCUGACCUGUGCUGUCCAUUGGGGUUUGGGCUGUCCCAUGGGCAUGCCUGGCCCCUGCCGUGCACCCCAGGGUUCCAUCACUGACAAACAGUGCUUUCUUAGCAAUAGUAUCCCCAGGAACACAUUCAGAAACUACAGAUGAGGUCAUUCCCCAGAGCAUGCUUAGGUAUUUGGGGCCCUGGACGUGGAGAGGAGCUAAAAUCUUACACUCAAUUAAUGGUUUUUAAAGUGAAACUAGAGCUCUUUUUACAGUACAUUUGGAGUCUGUUAAUCUGGCACUGGUUAAUGAUUAACAAUUUAUUUAUCCUUAUCAUUAGAGAUGGUGCAAACAUACAUUCUUCAUCCUUACUCGCUUCAAAAGAGGCAUUGGGAGUAACAGCCACCUACGCAGAAUAAGAAUUGAAUGUUAUUCAUGAAUUAAUACUGUUUAUUCACAUUAACAAAUCUGAGGCUGGUACAUCUCCAUGUUGUCCUUUCAAGCAAUCCAUCAAACAAAAUAAGCAAGGGCCCACCCCAAAGGCCCUAAGUUUGACUUUAUGCUCUAAACUUCCAAACUUCAGCCCAGGAGAUGCUUAGCACAAGACCUCCAGAAAGACUGAGGGUGUGAGCUUUGUCCUACAUUUGGAGAUAACAAAGAAGUGGAAGCCUGGCCUGGAAUCCAUCACAGAAACCCCCUGCAGAGCUCACCACGAAUGACCCAAUACCUGGGCCGAGCUCCUCACCACUUCCCCCAGCACACCUUGAAGGUGGUUUCUGGGCACAGCUGACAUCCCGACACAGCAUUGCUAACCCCUGUUCAACCUGAGUGUGGAUGGUGCUGAGGUGAUAAAGCUGGGUUUCUGGGUGCGGAAGGAUGUGCUUUGCUUCAUCAGAAUCACAGAUUAGAGAUGCCUUUUGAAAAAUGUGCUCUGAGCGUGAUCUUUUUUCUUCCAAAAAUAACUUGUAUUUUGCUCAUAUUAAAAGAGCAGGAUGUUCUUUCCUGUCCUACAGGGAUAAGGAGGAAAUGAGAACUACACUGGUUUUUUUUUAAUAUGAUAUGAGCUACUAUUCUUCUGGUCUACUGCUGUGAAUCUCGAUCCCCCACCCCCCAACCCCAGCACUAGGAUUUUAAUCCCUAUGGAUCUCAUUUUGCUUCAUUCAUGCCAAUGUUCUCCCAGUGAAGCUCUCUUUGAUUUCAGCAGGAUUCCUCCAUAUUUACACCUUUCAGAUCCCAAGGCAGUAUGGAUUGAAGGGAGGCAACUAACUUACAACAGAGAAUGCUGAAUGCCUCCAAGCCCCUUUCCAAUGAGACAAAGUCAGCGGAGAGACAUGAGUGGGGGCAGAGAGCAUCCCUUCCUGUCCUCUGCAUUUAAAGGAAAGAGGCUGCUCUUUGGAGGAAAUGUGAAUGUAAUGAACUGGACAUUCGAGUCCCAUUGUGCUGAGGUCUGACAGGAAACACUUGGGGUUUGAUUCAGGAAAAAGUACAGAGUAUUCCUUUAUAAAACUCUCAUAACCCCAACUAUCCCGCAGCAUUUCACUGCCUGUCUGUCUUUAAUGUAUAUAUUCUCACAGCCCUCUCCAGAAGACCAGAAGGAAACCUGGCCACUGGGGAGCGGGGGAGGCAUGGGAAGAAACUGUAGGGAUGUUUCCAGCCAACAGCCAUCCUAAAUGACAGCAUAAGGCCAGCAGCUCGCUCCCUUUUCAACCAAAGGGACCCCAGAACAGCUGCCCUUGCUGCUGGCCACCACAGUUUGCUAUGGGAAGAGGGACACUGCUCCAACUAUAGGAGCUAUAAACUGCCUCAAGUCUUAUGAAAGACCCAAACUGUAAAGACUGUGAAGGAAACCCCAUACAACCCAGAAGAGAUGGAUUGAGGACAUAAUGCCCUUGACUGAAAAAGGAGGCACCCAGGAAAUCUAGUGGUGUACAUAUAUAUAUAUAGGUGUGUGUAUAUAUAUGCAUAUAUAUAUAUAUUUAACUAGGGCUAAAGUAAUUGGCAUGCACAUCCCCUGAGCUGCUUCCUAAUGCACAGCUGCAGGAGGAAUUAUCUGGCUCUUAGCUGAAGGAACUCCUUAAGAAAGAAAGAAAAAAAAAGAUGUAGGCCAUUAAAGUGCUAAUAAAAAAUGUUGAUGAAUCUCA
This 2629-nucleotide long non-coding RNA is filed under the name Coturnix japonica (Japanese quail). RNAcentral's name for it is "lncRNA (ENSCJPG00005020025.1)". Lineage: Eukaryota; Metazoa; Chordata; Aves; Galliformes; Phasianidae. The record is from RNAcentral.